UCACAUCCUGGGGCUGGAGAAGGUCCCAAGGGUCCGGCUGUUCGCCGGUUAAAGUGGUACGCGAGCUGGGUUCAGAACGUCGCGAGACAGUUCGGUCCUUAUCCACUGUGGGCGCAGGAGAUUUGAGGGGUUCAGACCUUAGUACGAGAGGACCGGGUCUGACGAACCGCUGGUGUUCCAGUUGUUCUGUCAAGAGCAGUGCUGGGUAGCUAUGUUCGGAAAGGAUAAGCGCUGAAAGCAUCUAAGCGCCAAGCCUAUCCCAAGAUGAGAUCUCCCUGAAGGGUCGUGGUAGACCACCACGUUGAUAGGUCUCCGGUGCAAGUGCAGCAAUGUAUUCAGCUGAGAGAUACUAAUAACCCGUUCGGCUUGAUCAUUUA
This 377-nucleotide ribosomal RNA is filed under the name Verrucomicrobiota bacterium. RNAcentral's name for it is "bacterial LSU rRNA". It matches the Rfam family "Bacterial large subunit ribosomal RNA", at positions 2540 to 2925 of the family's 2925-position model. Lineage: Bacteria; Pseudomonadati; Verrucomicrobiota. The record is from RNAcentral.